AUUGAACGCUAGCGGGAUGCCUUACACAUGCAAGUCGAACGGAGUGGCGAACGGGUGAGUAAUGUAUCGGAACGUGCCCAGUAGCGGGGGAUAACUACGCGAAAGCGUAGCUAAUACCGCAUACUAUUGGAGCGGCCGAUAUCGGAUUAGCAAGUUGGGGGGGUAACGGCUUACAAAGGCGCCGGUCCGUAGCGGGUUUGAGAGGAAGACCAGCCACCCUGGGACGGAGACACGGCCCAGACUCCUACGGGAGGCAGCAGUGGGGAAUUUUGGACCAUGGGGGAAACCCUGAUCCAGCCAGCCCGCGUGUACGAUGAAGGCCUUCGGGUUGUAAAGCACUUUUGGCGGGAAAGCGGUACCUGCAGAAUAAGCACCGGCUAACUACGUGCCAGCAGCCGCGGUAAUAC
Molecule: ribosomal RNA, 407 nt
Filed under: uncultured bacterium
Lineage: Bacteria
Description: partial 16S ribosomal RNA
Rfam family: Bacterial small subunit ribosomal RNA
Source: RNAcentral